Molecule: transfer RNA, 68 nt
Filed under: Cysteochila lineata
Lineage: Eukaryota; Metazoa; Arthropoda; Insecta; Hemiptera; Tingidae
Description: tRNA-Phe
Source: RNAcentral
AUUUAAAUAGCUUAAGUUUAUAAAGUGUUGUAUUGAAGAUACAAAGAUAGAAAGAUUUCUUUUAAAUG